This 323-nucleotide ribosomal RNA is filed under the name uncultured bacterium. RNAcentral describes it as "bacterial SSU rRNA". It matches the Rfam family "Bacterial small subunit ribosomal RNA", at positions 28 to 334 of the family's 1533-position model. The record is from RNAcentral.
GAUGAACGCUGGCGGCGUGCAUAACACAUUCAAGUCGAACGGAGCUAUUGGAAUUAAUCCUUCGGGAAGCGUAAAGAUAGCUUAGUGGCGGACGGGUGAGUAACGCGUGAGCAACCUGCCUCUGUAUACGGGAUAACGUUUGGAAACGGACGCUAAUACCGUAUAAAGCAUAGACAUCGCAUGGUGACUAUGCCAAAGAUUUAUUGUACAGAGAUGGGCUCGCGUCUGAUUAGUUAGUUGGUGAGGUAACGGCUCACCAAGACCGCGAUCGGUAGCCGGACUGAGAGGUUGAACGGCCACAUUGGGACUGAGACACGGCCCAG